UACGUAGGGGGCAAGCGUUAUCCGGAUUUACUGGGUGUAAAGGGAGCGUAGACGGUUAUGUAAGUCUGGAGUGAAAGCCCGGGGCCCAACCCCGGGACUGCUUUGGAAACUGUGUAACUGGAGUACAGGAGGGGCAGGCGGAAUUCCUGGUGUAGCGGUGAAAUGCGUAGAUAUCAGGAGGAACACCGGCGGCGAAGGCGGCUUACUGGACUGCAACUGACACUGAGGCUCGAAAGUGUGGGUAUCAAACAGG
RNAcentral lists this ribosomal RNA (253 nucleotides) under uncultured Eubacteriales bacterium. RNAcentral's name for it is "uncultured Clostridiales bacterium partial 16S ribosomal RNA". It matches the Rfam family "Bacterial small subunit ribosomal RNA", at positions 524 to 776 of the family's 1533-position model. The record is from RNAcentral. Lineage: Bacteria; Bacillati; Bacillota; Clostridia; Eubacteriales.